CAGAGUCGAAAGGCGUGAGGAGAGGAGCCGCGGCCCAUCAGCUAGUGGUGAGGUAAUGGCUUACCAAGGCUACGACGGGUAGGGGAUCUGAGAGAUGUCCCCCACACUGGAACUGAAACACGGUCCAGACGCCUACGGGUGGCAGCAGUGAGGAAUAUUGGACAAUGGGCGAAAGCCCGAUCCAGCAACGCCCUGACGGUAGUCGUAUGCUCGUCUCCGAGACUAAGCCAUGCAAGUCCAAGUACACGUCCUUGAACGACGGAAACUGCGAACGGCUCAUUAAAUCAGUUGCGAUCUACUCGGCGUUCCGCGCCGCCGGAUAACCGUAGUAAUUCUAGGGCUAAUACGUGCGAAGCGCCCGAAGCCGCGAGGCGACGGGCGUUCUCGCCGGAUGUAGGAACCGACCCGGGGACCGCCGGGGCAACCCGGCGCCCCCGAGACGGGGCGAACCACGGUGAAAUGACGGAUCGUCGGCCCCGCGCCGGCGACUCGCCGAAUGAGUUUCUGA
RNAcentral lists this ribosomal RNA (508 nucleotides) under uncultured bacterium. RNAcentral's name for it is "bacterial SSU rRNA". The stretch from base 1 to 192 matches the Rfam family "Bacterial small subunit ribosomal RNA", at positions 202 to 398 of the family's 1533-position model. The record is from RNAcentral.